RNAcentral lists this ribosomal RNA (249 nucleotides) under uncultured prokaryote. RNAcentral's name for it is "partial 16S ribosomal RNA". It matches the Rfam family "Bacterial small subunit ribosomal RNA", at positions 524 to 772 of the family's 1533-position model. The record is from RNAcentral.
UACGGAGGAUGCAUGCGUUAUCCGGAUUUAUUUGGUUUAAAGGGUGCGCAGGUUGUUUGAUAAGUCAGUGGUGAAAGUCUGUCGCUUAACGGUAGGAUUGCCAUUGAUACUGUUGGACUUGAAUAUGGAUGAGGUAGGCGGAAUGUGUAGUGUAGCGGUGAAAUGCAUAGAUAUUACACAGAACACCGAUUGCGAAGGCAGCUUACUAAUCCAUCAUUGACGCUGAGGCACGAAAGCGUGGGGAUCAAA